GUAGGGAAUAUUGGGCAAUGGAGGCAACUCUGACCCAGCCAUGCCGCGUGCAGGAUGACGGCCCUCUGGGUUGUAAACUGCUUUUAUACGGGAAGAAAAAAUACUACGUGUAGUAUACUGACGGUACCGUAAGAAUAAGGAUCGGCUAACUCCGUGCCAGCAGCCGCGGUAAUACGGAGGAUCCAAGCGUUGUCCGGAUUUAUUGGGUUUAAAGGGUGCGUAGGCGGAUCUUUAAGUCAGUGGUGAAAGCCUGCAGCUUAACUGUAGAAUUGCCAUUGAAACUGAAGAUCUUGAAUGUGGUUAAAGUAGGCGGAAUGUAUCAUGUAGCGGUGAAAUGCUUAGAUAUGAUACAGAACACCGAUAGCGAAGGCAGCUUGCUGAACCAUUAUUGACGCUGAGGCACGAAAGCGUGGGGAGCGAACAGGAUUAGAAACCCUUGUAGUCC
This 445-nucleotide ribosomal RNA is filed under the name uncultured bacterium. RNAcentral's name for it is "bacterial SSU rRNA". It matches the Rfam family "Bacterial small subunit ribosomal RNA", at positions 354 to 796 of the family's 1533-position model. The record is from RNAcentral.